Molecule: ribosomal RNA, 246 nt
Filed under: uncultured Lactobacillus sp.
Lineage: Bacteria; Bacillati; Bacillota; Bacilli; Lactobacillales; Lactobacillaceae
Description: partial 16S ribosomal RNA
Rfam family: Bacterial small subunit ribosomal RNA
Source: RNAcentral
CGUGGGUAACCUGCCCAAGAGAUCGGGAUAACACCUGGAAACAGAUGCUAAUACCGGAUAACAACAGAUGAUGCCUAUCAACUGUUUAAAAGAUGGUUCUGCUAUCACUCUUGGAUGGACCUGCGGUGCAUUAGCUAGUUGGUAGGGUAACGGCCUACCAAGGCGAUGAUGCAUAGCCGAGUUGAGAGACUGAUCGGCCACAUUGGGACUGAGACACGACCCAAACUCCUACGGGAGGCAGCAGCC